Molecule: ribosomal RNA, 96 nt
Filed under: Leccinum rotundifoliae
Lineage: Eukaryota; Fungi; Basidiomycota; Agaricomycetes; Boletales; Boletaceae
Description: partial 5.8S ribosomal RNA
Rfam family: 5.8S ribosomal RNA
About the family: 5.8S ribosomal RNA (5.8S rRNA) is a component of the large subunit of the eukaryotic ribosome. It is transcribed by RNA polymerase I as part of the 45S precursor that also contains 18S and 28S rRNA.
Source: RNAcentral
GUAAUGUGAAUUGCAGAUUUUCAGUGAAUCAUCGAAUCUUUGAACGCACCUUGCGCUCCUUGGUAUUCCGAGGGGCAUGCCUGUUUGAGUGUCAUU